AGUCUAUUGGUGUAGAGGUUUAACAUGCCACACUGUCAAUGUGGAGAUGGAGGGUUCAAUUCCCUCAUAGACUGC
This 75-nucleotide transfer RNA is filed under the name uncultured phage cr106_1. RNAcentral's name for it is "crAssphage cr106_1 tRNA-Asp". It matches the Rfam family "tRNA". From Rfam's summary of the family: Transfer RNA (tRNA) molecules are approximately 80 nucleotides in length. Lineage: Duplodnaviria; Heunggongvirae; Uroviricota; Caudoviricetes; Crassvirales; Steigviridae. The record is from RNAcentral.